AGGGAGUAGAUACCCGGUUUUUCAUAAGUUGGCAAAACUGGCACAAAAUCUCCCAAUAUCAAAAGUGCUUUCUGAUGACUAAAACUUAUUAAGGACCAGGUUUUGGACAGUUACGGAGCAGACAACA
RNAcentral lists this small nucleolar RNA (127 nucleotides) under Strigamia maritima. RNAcentral's name for it is "small Cajal body specific RNA 8". It matches the Rfam family "Small Cajal body specific RNA 8". From Rfam's summary of the family: scaRNAs are a specific class of small nuclear RNAs which localise to the Cajal bodies and guide the modification of RNA polymerase II transcribed spliceosomal RNAs U1, U2, U4, U5 and U12. U92 belong to the H/ACA box class of guide RNAs as it has the predicted hairpin-hinge-hairpin-tail structure, conserved H/ACA-box motifs and is found associated with GAR1. Its is predicted to guide the pseudouridylation of residues U44 in U2 snRNA. The record is from Rfam by way of RNAcentral. Lineage: Eukaryota; Metazoa; Arthropoda; Chilopoda; Geophilomorpha; Linotaeniidae.